Molecule: ribosomal RNA, 419 nt
Filed under: bacterium
Lineage: Bacteria
Description: partial 16S ribosomal RNA
Rfam family: Bacterial small subunit ribosomal RNA
Source: RNAcentral
UGGGGGAUAUUGCACAAUGGGCGACAGCCUGAUGCAGCGACGCCGCGUGGGGGAUGAAGGCCUUCGGGUUGUAAACUUCUUUUGCUCUGAACAAGGCGCACCAUGGGGUGUGUUGAGUGUAGGGGUUGAUUAGCGCCGGCUAACUACGUGCCAGCAGCCGCGGUAAUACGUAGGGCGCGAGCGUUGUCCGUAAUUAUUGGGCGUAAAGGGCGUGUAGGUGGCUGGUUGCGUCUGUCGUGAAAGCUCAUGGCUUAACUGUGGGGUUGCGGUGGGGACGGGCUGGGUGGAGGGCAGUAGGGGAGGCUGGAAGUCCUGGUGUAGCGGUGGAAUGCGCAGAUAUCAGGAGGAAUACCGGUGGCGAAGGCGGGUCUCUGGGCUGUUACUGACACUGAGGAGCGAAAGCAUGGGGGGCGAACAGG